CUGAGGCACGGGGCUGGGCCUGAGCGGUGUUAUAGCCCCGGCUCUGCCUCAGGGACGGACAGGGCCUGAGCGGUGGUACAGCCCCGGCACUGCCUCAGGUACGGACGGCGAUGCCCGAAAAGGCUGGCUGGAAGUAAAACCCCAUAGACUGGUGUCUACAGAGCAGCUGGAUUGAAGGCCAGGGGAAUGCCCUGGAGCAGGGAAACCUCCCUCACCUGAGCCAUACCCAAGGGCACCCCUUCCUCACACCAGGUCCUUUAGAUCUUUCUUAUCCUUUCCACAUGAAAAUGCAGUCAGUG
Molecule: long non-coding RNA, 299 nt
Organism: Vidua macroura (Pin-tailed whydah)
Lineage: Eukaryota; Metazoa; Chordata; Aves; Passeriformes; Viduidae
Exons: 3
Source: RefSeq, a predicted model, not a curated record